AGGCAUUGGUGGGAUACUACCCUAAUUGUAUUGGAUUUCUAACCCGCAGCACUUAUCGUGCUGGGAGACAGUGUCAGGCGGGCAGUUUGACUGGGGCGGUCGCCUCCUAAAGAGUAACGGAGGCGCUCAAAGGUUCCCUCAGAAUGGUUGGAAAUCAUUCAUAGAGUGUAAAGGCAUAAGGGAGCUUGACUGCGAGACCUACAAGUCGAGCAGGGUCGAAAGACGGACUUAGUGAUCCGGUGGUUCCGCAUGGAAGGGCCAUCGCUCAACGGAUAAAAGCUACCCCGGGGAUAACAGGCUUAUCUCCCCCAAGAGUUCACAUCGACGGGGAGGUUUGGCACCUCGAUGUCGGCUCAUCGCAUCCUGGGGCUGUAGUCGGUCCCAAGGGUUGGGCUGUUCGCCCAUUAAAGCGGUACGCGAGCUGGGUUCAGAACGUCGUGAGACAGUUCGGUCCCUAUCCGUCGUGGGCGUAGGAAAUUUGAGAGGAGCUGUCCUUAGUACGAGAGGACCGGGAUGGACAUACCUCUGGUGUACCAGUUGUCGUGCCAACGGCAUAGCUGGGUAGCUAUGUAUGGACGGGAUAAGUGCUGAAAGCAUCUAAGCAUGAAGCCCCCCUCGAGAUGAGAUUUCCCAACUUCGGUUAUAAGAUCCCUCAAAGAUGAUGAGGUGAAUAGGUUCGAGGUGGAAGCGUAGUGAUACGUGGAGCUGACGAAUACUAAUCGAUCGAAGACUUAAUCAA
Molecule: ribosomal RNA, 739 nt
Filed under: Staphylococcus pseudintermedius
Lineage: Bacteria; Bacillati; Bacillota; Bacilli; Caryophanales; Staphylococcaceae
Description: partial 23S ribosomal RNA
Rfam family: Bacterial large subunit ribosomal RNA
Source: RNAcentral